GCUCGCUACAACAAAACAAAACACCAAUUCGUUUGAUUUUUUUUGCUAGUAGUUUACGAAACUCCAAAGCUGAAAAAGAAAUGUUCUCUCCACCCUACCUAUUGCGUUCCAUGACAUAUUUGCUGUUGAUUCUACUGUAGCUAGACAUAACACUGACUUCAAUUCGCAGCAGAGAAAUCCAAGAUUUUAUUUUCAGAAUCACUUAAACUGUGAUUGCAACAGGAAAACGUAAAGCGUUUUAGUUAUAUCACGACAAUUUUCGACAGUUUUUGUUAACUAGCAAGUUUCCAACACCUAACCUAGAGGUCGUAACCGAGUGUAGUUUGAAAUGACACCGCGCUGAUGAUGGGCCCUGAAACCUACUAUGCGUCUUAUUGUCUCCGUAAAAGUACCGUUUAAUAAGAAAACGAUGCCAAUACGUAUUCCCGGUACGACGAACUACAUCAUCAGCGUCUUUAGUGGAAAAGAACAUGAAGGAAAACGUUGUAGGAACUAAUGCAGCUGUAAAUUGUCGCUACUAUAAAUUGAUAAUUUCAUUUCUGCAUAAAUGUAUUUAUGUUUAAACUAUUUAUAUGUUUAUAAAGAGAGAUAUUUAUAAAAAAAAUCUUAUUUAUGUAACAAACUGAAGAGAGGGUGAACUGCAGGAGAAAGAAACACAAAGUUUGUAACAUUUGUCCUAAUAGCUGUUACGUGUUAAAUUGCAUUUCACAAAAGUC
This is a non-coding RNA of Chiloscyllium plagiosum (whitespotted bambooshark), 716 nucleotides long. Lineage: Eukaryota; Metazoa; Chordata; Chondrichthyes; Orectolobiformes; Hemiscylliidae. The record is from RefSeq and is a predicted model, not a curated record.